AUGCAUCACCUUGCUGCAAAUUUUGUGAAGAAAUUCAAAGGAAAGGUGUGUACCGACAAUUUAUGGCUAGCAUCUUUGACUUGCAGUGUGAAGAAGCACAACUACCAUUUGAGGCAGUUAUACAUGAAUCCCAAAGUGAAGGAAUACUUGGAAACAUACCACUCCAAGUUACGGGCCAUAAGGCAAUUCAGUGAACUAAGCAAAGUUGACUAUGUGCACAAUAAUCUAGCAGAGUCUUUCAACUCAACGAUCUAG
RNAcentral lists this ribosomal RNA (255 nucleotides) under Triticum aestivum (bread wheat). RNAcentral's name for it is "partial small subunit ribosomal RNA". Lineage: Eukaryota; Viridiplantae; Streptophyta; Magnoliopsida; Poales; Poaceae. The record is from RNAcentral.